UUCGUAGGUGGUUUGGUAAGUUCAAGAUUAAACCUCAUCGGCUUAACCUUUGAGCUGUUUUGAAUACUGCUAAACUAAGAGGGCGUUAGAGGCAAACGGAACCGACAAAGUAGGGGUGAAAUCCGUUGAUAUUGUCGGGAACACCAAAAGCGAAGGCAGUUUGCUGGGGCGACCCUGACACUGAGGAACGAAAGCGUGGGGAGCAAAA
RNAcentral lists this ribosomal RNA (208 nucleotides) under uncultured bacterium. Its description in RNAcentral is "partial 16S ribosomal RNA". It matches the Rfam family "Bacterial small subunit ribosomal RNA", at positions 568 to 773 of the family's 1533-position model. The record is from RNAcentral.